RNAcentral lists this ribosomal RNA (253 nucleotides) under uncultured bacterium. RNAcentral describes it as "partial 16S ribosomal RNA". It matches the Rfam family "Bacterial small subunit ribosomal RNA", at positions 524 to 776 of the family's 1533-position model. The record is from RNAcentral.
UACGUAGGGUGCAAGCGUUAAUCGGAAUUACUGGGCGUAAAGCGUGCGCAGGCGGUUUUGUAAGUCUGUCGUGAAAUCCCCGGGCUUAACCUGGGAAUGGCGAUGGAGACUGCAAGGCUGGAGUUUGGCAGAGGGGGGUAGAAUUCCACGUGUAGCAGUGAAACGCGUAGAGAUGUGGAGGAACACCGAUGGCGAAGGCAGCCCCCUGGGUCAAAACUGACGCUCAUGCACGAAAGCGUGGGGAGCAAACAGG